This 789-nucleotide ribosomal RNA is filed under the name uncultured archaeon. Its description in RNAcentral is "bacterial SSU rRNA". It matches the Rfam family "Archaeal small subunit ribosomal RNA", at positions 88 to 879 of the family's 1478-position model. The record is from RNAcentral.
GCUCAGUAACACGUGGAUAACAUGCCCUAAAGCGGGGGAUAAUCUCGGGAAAUUGAGGAUAAUACCCCAUAGAUCAUAGGAUCUGGAAUGACUUAUGGUCGAAAGUUCUGGCGCUUUAGGAUUGGUCUGCGGCCUAUCAGGUUGUAGUGGGUGUAACGGACCCACUAGCCGACGACGGGUAUGGGCCUUGAGAGAGGGAGCCCAGAGAUGGAUUCUGAGACACGAAUCCAGGCCCUACGGGGCGCAGCAGUCGCGAAAACUUCACACUGGAGGCAACUCCGACGAGGGAAUUCCUAGUGCUAGCACAUUAGUGUUAGCUUUUCUUAAGCGUAGAUAACUUAAAGAAUAAGGGCUGGGUAAGACGGGUGCCAGCCGCCGCGGUAAUACCCGCAGCCCAAGUGGUGGUCGAUUUUAUUGAGUCUAAAACGUUCGUAGCCGGUUUGGUAAAUCCUUGGGUAAAUCGAGAGGCUUAACCUUUCGAAUUCCGAGGAGACUGCCAAACUUGGGACCGGGAGAGGCGAGAGGUACUUCUGGGGUAGGGGUAAAAUCCUGUAAUCCUAGAAGGACCACCGGUGGCGAAGGCGUCUCGCUAGAACGGAUCCGACGGUGAGGGACGAAGCCCUGGGUCGCAAACGGGAUUAGAUACCCCGGUAGUCCAGGGUGUAAACGCUGCAGACUUGGUGUUGGGGGCCCUACGGGGGCGUUCAGUGCCGGAGAGAAGUUGUUAAGUCUGCUACUUGGGGAGUACGUCCGCAAGGAUGAAACUUAAAGGAAUUGGCGGGGGAGCAC